This is a long non-coding RNA of Alligator mississippiensis (American alligator), 2335 nucleotides long. RefSeq lists it as uncharacterized. The transcript is spliced from 2 exons. NCBI's taxonomy places the organism in Eukaryota, Metazoa, Chordata, Crocodylia, Alligatoridae. The record is from RefSeq and is a predicted model, not a curated record.
AUUCUGCAGGCUGGCAGAGUUCCAGCCUGAAAAAGCUGUUUGUAAAAGGGGUGGGAAAGCCCCAACCCUGCCCCAAGGGGCAGAGGGAGAGGGAAAGGAGGGGUCCGACACUUGCAUUUACCAGAGGCUUCUCUUCAGGCUCACUGUUCUUGCUGCUGGAGACUUGCUGAGCGUGGGCACAACUAGACAGCAGCCCAGUGCAGGAUGAAGGCCAAGAUUCAGAAUGCUGCUUUCUGAUGUGAAGCUGCAAGAGCUCAGCAGCAGGGCAUCCCUAUGCAUAACAUGUUGUACUAUCGACACCUCCACCCACUAAUGGAGAUUCUUGAACGCCAUGAAAUGAGACGGUCAACAUAUCCAGGCCAUCCUCCACUCCUAAGACCUUGACAACCAUGGGUCCAACUCAUGCUGCCUCAAGUGAGGAGGACAGGGGCAGGGUACUAGUACUGGCUCAUGAAGAUUCCUUCGAAGAGGAGAGACUGGGGACAUUGACUUCCACACCUGGUAUGUGAAGCCCUGGGAAAUCUUUAAGUCAACCGUCAGCUGAACUGACAAUUGUGAUUAGGCUAGACUGUGAGGUGAAGGGGAGGUGGGGAUGGUAUCGGGGUGGCAUCAGACACUGCUUUAAAGACUCGUCAAGUUAGUAGGCAAUGCAGGGAGGUACAGGGUAACAUAUGGCAGGGAGGCUAUGCUGGGCAAUUGUUUGCAGGUGCUCAGGGCUUGCAACCCACCACUUGGCCAUGCAAACCCUUCUUGGUGAUUUUUUGCCUGACUGCUUCUUAUCCACUCACAAGAUUUGCUGAGCACAGAGCUCUCUGUGGUGGCCAGAACCAGAGGGGUUACUAUCAUGAGCAAUAAAUAUAUGCUCUUGAAAGCAUCUGGUAAUUGUCUAAGCAGUUAAGAUUAACUAAUGCAAAGCUUGUAAGUUUGCAACCUGCAAGCAGAAUUUGUCGGUCACAAUUUAACCAGUGUUGAAUCUGUAGUGUGCAGGUUUGUCAUUACCCUGAAAUAGAAUAGUUUUCUGAAAGCAUAGUUAGGUUUACAAUAAUUUGGAUUAUUAAGAAGUAUUAGCUUUACAGCUGAAUACAAGGCAUGACCUGUGGCCUAGCAAUGCAGCUGACCACAAGGCAGAAUGAUAGCUAGGCCUUUGCUUGUGUCAAGUAAUCAUUUUAACUGCACCAAGCAUUUUCUGAGUUAAAAAGUGAAUCUGUGUCUGUGUGCUAAAAAAAAAUCAGCUACAGCAAGAAGUAAGAUAAGACAGAGAAACCAUUGUUUGAGCUUACUGGUUGUGUCCUUGAGAAGUUUCUUCUACUGUGUAAGGUUUUGCUAACAUAAUGUUACUGUUACUUAACUUUUAGCUUUUAAAAAGUGCUAGUUCAGCUUAACAGAAAUAUGCUGUUACAAAGAUUUGUAGAGCACCGCCCCAAGUAUUGCUUUUUGUUAACCAUAUAGUCUUGCUUUGUUGUAAGAAGUAUAAAAGAUCGCCUCACCCUUGAGGGGGGGCCAUUUUGCCUUUUGCUGGCUUUAUGGUCUUUGCUCGAGCAAAUAAACAGCUGUCUUUCUUUACCCGCGUUGUCUGUCAAUCAAAUUACAGCUAGACAACGGACCUUAGGGAGGUUUCUCCCACCACAAAUCUAACUGUUUGCACUGAUCAUGGGACCACUGAGCCCCAAAAAUAAGCAGAGCUACAAGAUUAGUUGAUCUAACAGGUUUUUUAAAGGUCAAGCCAUAACAAUAUUUGACCACCUAAUAUAAUUAGCACAUUCCAAGGAAUCCAGGAAUAAGAGACUAAGGGCAAAGUAAUGCUAAUUUCAAACCUCGAAGUAAUGUGGUGUAAUUUGCUUAUUGGGUGAACCUGAGUUCGGGCGGUAACCUUUCAUGAUAAUUUCUAACACCUUUUGAUCCCAUAGGGUAACACCUAUAGGGCAAGAUUGUGAGUGGCUCUAAAACCAACAGAUUAGCACAAGACAGGGUAUAAGGAAUCACGUAUGUCAGAUGACCAGCAUGAAGGACAGGACAGAAGGACCAUUGCUGUACCAAGCCUGGACCCCGGACUCCCAGUGUGAGUGAGGACCAGAUCCCGACCAAGGGACCUUCCCAGUGACCCCUCGGACAGUGUUGAUCGGGGAUGCCUGACUUUGCUGGAACAACUUGGCGUGCACCUGGCAUAGUGGAACUGCCGAUAAAUUGCCAACCCCAUGUGGGAACUCUUUGUCAUUCUGUCUAUCUGUUGUUAUCAUUCACUAUUAGCUCUUUAUUACUGUACUAUCUAUUUGUCGCAUUAACCUUUCUGUUAACUGUUGUAUGCUAAACUGUAAAUAAAUUUGCCUUUACUUCA